Long non-coding RNA from Bombus huntii, 761 nucleotides. RefSeq lists it as uncharacterized. The record is from RefSeq and is a predicted model, not a curated record. NCBI's taxonomy places the organism in Eukaryota, Metazoa, Arthropoda, Insecta, Hymenoptera, Apidae. The transcript is spliced from 3 exons.
UACCCCGGGUGCGUCCAAUUACCUGUGAGGGCAUAUUAGGUGACGAAGGAGACUGCAGCGGUAUACUUUGUCAGGUCAUGAACGCCAGAAUCUUGGAAAUAGCCACCUUAAACUGUUUUACCCUCGCAUACGUCGAAGUGUCGAUCUUCCAGCAAAUCAAGAAUAUUUCCUGUCUUCACGUGCGUUCCUAAAGUGUUUCGAUCGGCGCACAUGCGAUAUUAAGAUCCACCGUAGCAUCGGGAAACAUACCGGGUGUUCCGGCUUGCGAAAUCUUAUUUGAGGAAGAGGCGAUGAGAUAGAGGCGAGGAAACGUCGUUUCAAUAGCACUACAUUGAAUACAAAUAAGCGGACGUGGAGGGAAACAGAAAAACAAUAACAAUGAUAAAUAUGAAAUUCCUUGCGGCGUAAUGGGGAACAGGGACGAGUGAUAUUGGCAUGGGAGCAGGAAAACCACGACUGGAAUUCGCGUUUUUCGAUAUUAAAUAACAGAAUUUGUAUUCUGCAACGAUUCUGUUAUGAACCGCUUUGCCGCUUCUGCAGAACUCCGAACUAGAAACGCAAAUAUUAUUUCAACCGUACCUUCUGCGUACAUAUUCUUGCAUGCCUCGUGGAACCAGUUAAAUGUGUGUUCAUUUGGCAUGUAAUUGAUCAUGAUCCGUUCAUGAAAAUGUAAAAGAUAUUCUAAGUGUGAAAGAUAUUCUUAUUUUAGUAGUUUGAAAUUUUUGUUUGAAACAGUUGUUGGAAAUAAAUUCUUAAAUAGA